AAGAGUGCCACGAUAAACAGAACCAAAGCCACCUUCUCCAAUGGAAGUUCUGUAAUUUUGGGUGGCAGCUUCUAUGUUGGCCAGACUAAAUGUUUGUAUGGAUAUUGACUUUGCCUUGGUCUCGUCUAUGAUAGCAAAAGAAGAUGAUACCAGCUGCAACAGUCAAUAGAAUAGUUCCACCUGCAACAGAGCCUAUGAUGAUACUUCGGUUUGCUGCUGCUUCUUCUUCACUGGUAGAGAUGCAAAUUCCAGACCUGAUAUUUUAAAUUUUGGAUUAUGUUAUAUAUAUGUAUAUAUAUAUAUAUGUAUGUAUGUGAUUAUUUGAUAAGUGCUUGUGACAAUGUUUCAUACCAUGUGUCAAGUUUUGAGCUGUUGAAGCCAGAUGUAUCUCCUUGGACAAUAUUUUGGUUACAGCCAAUAUAUCUAGAAUCAAACAGGUUUUUAGUUGCUA
This is a long non-coding RNA of Cannabis sativa, 451 nucleotides long. RefSeq lists it as uncharacterized. The transcript is spliced from 2 exons. The record is from RefSeq and is a predicted model, not a curated record. Lineage: Eukaryota; Viridiplantae; Streptophyta; Magnoliopsida; Rosales; Cannabaceae.